UACGAAGGUCCCAAGCGUUAUCCGGCUUUAUUGGGUUUAAAGGGUGCGUAGGCGGGUUAUUAAGUCAGUGGUGAAAGCCUUCAGCUCAACUGAAGAAUUGCCAUUGAUACUGAUGAUCUUGAGUACGAUUGAGGUAGGCGGAAUGUGUCAUGUAGCGGUGAAAUGCUUAGAUAUGACACAGAACACCGAUUGCGAAGGCAGCUUACUAAGUCGUAACUGACGCUGAUGCACGAAAGCGUGGGGAGCAAACAGG
This 253-nucleotide ribosomal RNA is filed under the name uncultured bacterium. RNAcentral's name for it is "partial 16S ribosomal RNA". It matches the Rfam family "Bacterial small subunit ribosomal RNA", at positions 524 to 776 of the family's 1533-position model. The record is from RNAcentral.